UUUAAGAACAAUGUCUUUUGGCCAGGCACGGUGGCUCAUGCCUGUAAUCCCAGCACUUUGGGAGGCUGAGGCAGGCGGAUCACAAGGUAAGGAGUUUGAGGCCAGCCUGGUUAAUAUGGUGAAACCCCGUCUCUGCUAAAAAUACAAAAAUUAGCCAGAUGUGGUGGCACACACCUGUAGUCCCAACUGCUCAGGAGGCUGAGGCAGGAGAAUCACUUGAACCUGGGAGGCAGAGCUUGUAGUGAGCUGAGAUUGCACCAUUGCACUCCAGCCUGGGCAACAGAGUGAGGCUCCAUCUCAAAAAAAAAAAAAAAAACUUUAUUAUUUGUGUUACAGCUUUCCUGUGUUAUAGCCAGCACUUUCUGCUUCUAACUCUGGCUUGAUCUUUCUGGUGAUUCACUCCUAUCCAGGAGCCACCAAGAGUCACCUCAUUAGAACAAAAGAUGCUCACCCAGGAAGUUCUCAGGAUUUUAGGAGCUCUGUGGCAGGAACUGGGUGCAGACCAAUAUAUAUUUCUUACUAUUUCAUACCACCCACAACCUUCACCACCAUCCCCUCCAUAAAAUCAUCUUUUAUUGGCCAGCAUGGGGGCUCAUGUCUAUAAUCCCAGCGCUUGGGGAGGCUGAGGUGGGAAGAUUGCUUGAGGCCAAGAGUUCAUGACCAGCCUGGGCAACACAGCAAAGGCUGGCAUGUCUCUAAUUCUUUCUUGCAGCAGCCCCUCUCUUCACCUCCAAGCCGGAGCGUGGCCUCAUCCCUCCCAGGUGACUCUCUUCCCAGAAAUGGUGCUGUCUCAAGAAGCCCCCUCUCUCCAAGCAUCUGCCAGGCCGUUUGAGCUGCCAGGAGUCUUUGUCCUGCCCCACCAGCUCUGUCUCAUCUAGAUGGGGCCUUCUGUCCAGUGCUACUGAACAGAAUGUUCUGCAUGCCUGGCCAGUGCAGAGACCUCCUUGCACCCCUGCUCCAAGGCUGGCUCUGCCACUGACAGAUAGACUGACAUUUGCACUGUUCUGAGCCCCUGGGGGUGCAGUAUGCAGAGCUAGGCCAUCUCUGUCGUCCUACAAGAACCAGGCAGCCCUGAGCAAGGCUUUUAACAUGCAAGGUGUACUCCACUAGUCUUAAGAUAUCUUGAGCCACUGUCUUGCUGCUCCCAACUCCCAAGCCACGCUGACUUUCUUUCCCUCGGGACUGAAACACCUCUGCUGAUCCCUGAUCCAUAUCCCUCCCCAUGAAAGAAAUAUAAUACAUAAAAGAGAGCCCUCUCCACUGAGCACCUCCCUUCCUUUGUAGCACUUACUUCAACUGACCCUUACAGGGAUCGUGUAACUAGACUAUGAAUGUCAUGAAGGCUACGUCGUGUCUCCGACCCCCUACUAAAGGCUCCAACCCCAGGGAGGACCCCUCCCCUGGCCUGGGGAGGAGGAUCAGGAAGAUCUCUUUAGUAAAAGGUCCGGUUGGACUGGGACAUAGGUCUUUCCUGAGCAAGAACUCUAAAGCCCACUUGUUUCCUUACUAGAAGAUGAAGGUUAGAAAUGUUCUUUCUUAUUUAAAACCAUGGCUUGCAAUGCUGCUUGGCCCUCAAGUCAAGCAGAAGCACAGCCCACAUACCACACAACACAGGAUUUCCUCACGGCUCAUCUUCCAAGUGAGAAGUGAAAGGAAUGUCGUGGGAAACCGCAAGAGUCUGUUCUAAUGAUAAAGCAGAGGUCCAGAGAACCGCACUUACCCUCAGCAGUGCACAGUGGUGAUGAACAACACGCCAAGCAGAAGAGAAAGGGGCCAGGACCUUGGACGGGGGCUGAAUUCAGAAUCAGCGCACAGGAGAAGUGAAGUUUGAGACUUCGAGAAUGAGCCGAAGGGAGACCUUUCUCACUGUCAAGGCGGUGAAGCACAGGCCGCAGAGGGGAGGUGUUUGACCUGGGGGCGCUCAUCACAUGCUGUGCCUAGAAUCGAAGUCCGGGCUCACACCAGACCUCCAAGGCCAGAACCCGAAGACUGGAUCUUCUGAGAACAUCAGAGAAAGACUGUCCUUGCCAUCCGCACUGCAACAAAACUUAGGGAUCUUGAAACUUGGGUUCAUAAUCUCACAACUGAGAAGGGUCCAUCCACACUCCUGGAACUGUACACCCAUUGGAACCUUUAAGGUAAAGCCAAGGAAGUCUCUCCCCAGAAGAUGGCAUCCUUGAUGUGAACGGCUUUUGCUAAGAUCGUGGAUCAAGACUUCUACUGUCAUGAGACUCUCUUUUUUUUUUCUUUUUUGGAGAUGGAGUCUUGCUCUGUCACCCAGGCUGGAGUGCGGUGGUGCAGUCUCAGCUCACUGCAACCUCUGCCUCCUGGGUUCAAGCGAUUCUCAUACCUCAGCCUUCCGAGUAGCUGGUAUUACAGGUGCCUGCCACCACACCAAGCUAAUUUUUGUAUUUUUAGUAGAGAUGGGUUUUUGCCAAGUUGGCCAGGCUGGUUUUGAACUUCUAACCUCAGGUGAUCCGCCCACCUCGGCCUCCCAAAGUGCUGGGAUUACAGGCAUGCACCACCACGCCUGGCCAUGAGACUCUUAUCUUUGAGUAUCUGUUCCUUGCUUAUGCCUCUAUGAAUAAUAGAAAUGAAAAGACGAUCUGUUGUGUGCACUUAUGGGGUAUACUUUCAUUUGUGAAGGAUUUUGCAGCCAGCCUUAUACACGGAUAACUUUAUACUUUGAUAGAUAAAAGAUGAAGGUCCAGUGUAGGUGAGAAACUUUAAUGAGACAUAUGUUGCCUGUAAUCAGUCAGAAACAGAAUAUCGGUUCACUCCUCUUAACCCACACUAUGGGUUAAAGAGGGCAUUGCCAGGAGGGCUUUACUCUUCCAGAAGGGCAUCACUUUUCCAUGGUUUAGAGUAAAAGAGGCCAUAACCAGAAAUGUAUCCCUCAUGAUAGGCUGUAUAGCAGACUCUACUGUAAAGGCUAUAGUUACACAACAGACUUUCAAUUCCCUUGUGAAAGGUAUGCUAAAUAAUAGAAUUGACUAAACAGAAAAGUAGUACCUGUGCAGCUGCUGGCACCUGUGGCCUAGGGAGAAAUACAUCAGGUAUUAUAGAGAUUCAGUUGUG
RNAcentral lists this long non-coding RNA (3078 nucleotides) under Homo sapiens (human). RNAcentral describes it as "HSALNT0068181". Lineage: Eukaryota; Metazoa; Chordata; Mammalia; Primates; Hominidae. The record is from RNAcentral.